CCUACGGGGGGCAGCAGUGAGGAAUAUUGGUCAAUGGACGAGAGUCUGAACCAGCCAAGUAGCGUGAAGGAUGACUGCCCUAUGGGUUGUAAACUUCUUUUAUAAAGGAAUAAAACGAGGCACGUGUGCCGUUUUGCAUGUACUUUAUGAAUAAGGAUCGGCUAACUCCGUGCCAGCAGCCGCGGUAAUACGGAGGAUCCGAGCGUUAUCCGGAUUUAUUGGGUUGACAGGGAGCGUAGAUGGGUUGUUAAGUCAGUUGGGAAAGUUUGCGGCUCAACCGUAAAAUUGCAAUUGAUACUGGCAGUCUUUCGUUCAGUUGAGGUAAGCGGACUUCGUUGUGUAGCGGUUAUAUGCUUAGAUAUCACG
This 366-nucleotide ribosomal RNA is filed under the name uncultured bacterium. RNAcentral's name for it is "partial 16S ribosomal RNA". It matches the Rfam family "Bacterial small subunit ribosomal RNA", at positions 338 to 701 of the family's 1533-position model. The record is from RNAcentral.